Molecule: ribosomal RNA, 107 nt
Filed under: Allophoma labilis
Lineage: Eukaryota; Fungi; Ascomycota; Dothideomycetes; Pleosporales; Didymellaceae
Description: partial 28S ribosomal RNA
Source: RNAcentral
UUGAACUUAAGCAUAUCAAUAAGCCGGAGGAAAAUCAUUACCUAGAGUUGCGGGCUUUGCCUGCAUCUCUUACCCAUGUCUUUUGAGUACCUUCGUUUCCUCGGCGG